UGGGGAAUUUUGGACAAUGGGGGAAACCCUGAUCCAGCCAUGCCGCGUGUAUGAAGAAGGCCUUAGGGUUGUAAAGUACUUUUGUUAGGGAAGAAAAGCUAGUUUUUAAUAAAAAUUAGUGAUGACGGUACCUAAAGAAUAAGCACCGGCUAACUACGUGCCAGCAGCCGCGGUAAUACGUAGGGUGCAAGCGUUAAUCGGAAUUAUUGGGCGUAAAGCGAGUGCAGACGGUUACUUAAGCCAGAUGUGAAAUCCCCAAGCUUAACUUGGGACGUGCAUUUGGAACUGGGUGACUAGAGUGUGUCAGAGGGAGGUAGAAUUCCACAUGUAGCGGUGGAAUGCGUAGAGAUGUGGAGGAAUACCGAUGGCGAAGGCAGCCUCCUGGGAUAACACUGACGUUGAGGCUCGAAAGCGUGGGGAGCAAACAGGAUUAGAUACCCCCGUAGUCC
This 449-nucleotide ribosomal RNA is filed under the name uncultured prokaryote. Its description in RNAcentral is "bacterial SSU rRNA". It matches the Rfam family "Bacterial small subunit ribosomal RNA", at positions 355 to 796 of the family's 1533-position model. The record is from RNAcentral.